RNAcentral lists this ribosomal RNA (253 nucleotides) under uncultured bacterium. RNAcentral describes it as "partial 16S ribosomal RNA". It matches the Rfam family "Bacterial small subunit ribosomal RNA", at positions 524 to 776 of the family's 1533-position model. The record is from RNAcentral.
UACGUAGGGUGCGAGCGUUGUCCGGAAUUAUUGGGCGUAAAGGGCUCGUAGGCGGUCUGUCACGUCGGGAGUGAAAACUCGGGGCUUAACCCCGAGCCUGCUUCCGAUACGGGCAGACUAGAGGUAUGCAGGGGAGAAUGGAAUUCCUGGUGUAGCGGUGAAAUGCGCAGAUAUCAGGAGGAACACCGGUGGCGAAGGCGGGUCUCUGGGCCGAUACUGACGCUGAGGAGCGAAAGCGUGGGGAGCAAACAGG